CCUACGGGAGGCAGCAGUGAGGAAUAUUGGUCAAUGGGCGGGAGCCUGAACCAGCCAAGCCGCGUGAGGGAAGAAGGUACAGCGUAUCGUAAACCUCUUUUGUAAGGGAACAAAGGCGGGGACUAGUCCACGGAUGAGGGUACCUGAAGAAAAAGCAUCGGCUAACUCCGUGCCAGCAGCCGCGGUAAUACGGAGGAUGCGAGCGUUAUCCGGAUUUAUUGGGUUUAAAGGGUGCGCAGGGGGCCUGUUAAGUCAGCGGUAAAAGCCUGGGGCACAACCACGGCUUGCCGUUGAAACUGGCAGGCUUGAGUUGGAGAGAGGUACGCGGAAUGCGCGGUGUAGCGGUGAAAUGCUUAGAUAUCACGCAGAACCCCGAUUGCGAAGGCAGCUUACCGGCUCCACACUGACGCUGAUGCACGAAAGCGUGGGUAUCGAACAGGAUUAGAUACCCCAGUAGUC
RNAcentral lists this ribosomal RNA (459 nucleotides) under uncultured bacterium. Its description in RNAcentral is "partial 16S ribosomal RNA". It matches the Rfam family "Bacterial small subunit ribosomal RNA", at positions 338 to 795 of the family's 1533-position model. The record is from RNAcentral.